AGCGGAGCGUUGUGGUUUAAUUCGUUGCUACACGAAGAACCUUACCUGGGUUUGACAUAUAGGUUGUAGGGAACUGAAAAGGGACCGACCCUUCGGGGAGCCUAUACAGGUGUUGCAUGGCUGUCGUCAGCUCGUGUCGUGAGAUGUUCGGUUAAGUCCGCUAACGAGCGCAACCCUCGUCGUAUGUUAUAUGUGUCAUACGAGACUGCCGGUAAAAGCCGGAGGAAGGUGAGGAUGAUGUCAAGUCAGCAUGACCUUUAUAUCCAGGGCUACACACACGCUACAAUGGUCUGUACAAUGGGUAGCCAAGCCGCGAGGCGGAGCCAAUCCUGAAAGCAGGCCUCAGUUCAGAUUGCAGUCUGCAACUCGACUGCAUGAAGCCGGAGUUGCUAGUAACCGCAGGUCAGCAAUACUGCGGUGAAUACGUUCCCGGGUCUU
RNAcentral lists this ribosomal RNA (438 nucleotides) under uncultured Anaerolineaceae bacterium. RNAcentral describes it as "bacterial SSU rRNA". It matches the Rfam family "Bacterial small subunit ribosomal RNA", at positions 931 to 1382 of the family's 1533-position model. The record is from RNAcentral. Lineage: Bacteria; Bacillati; Chloroflexota; Anaerolineae; Anaerolineales; Anaerolineaceae.